GACGAACGCUGGCGGCGUGCUUAACACAUGCAAGUCAAACGGAAAGGCCUUUUCGGAGGUACUCGAGUGGCGAACGGGUGAGUAACACGUGGGUGAUCUGCCCUGCACUCUGGGAUAAGCCUGGGAAACUGGGUCUAAUACCGGAUAGGACCGCACUUUAGUGUGUGUGGUGGAAAGUUUUUUCGGUGUAGGAUGAGCCCGCGGCCUAUCAGCUUGUUGGUGGGGUAAUGGCCUACCAAGGCGGCGACGGGUAGCCGGACUGAGAGGUUGGUCGGCCACAUUGGGACUGAGAUACGGCCCAGACUCCUACGGGAGGCAGCAGUGGGGAAUAUUGCACAAUGGGCGCAAGCCUGAUGCAGCGACGCCGCGUGGGGGAUGACGGCCUUCGGGUUGUAAACUCCUUUCGCCAGGGACGAAGCGUUUUGUGACGGUACCUGGAGAAGAAGCACCGGCUAACUACGUG
Molecule: ribosomal RNA, 463 nt
Filed under: uncultured bacterium
Lineage: Bacteria
Description: partial 16S ribosomal RNA
Rfam family: Bacterial small subunit ribosomal RNA
Source: RNAcentral